UAAUACAGAGACUGCAAGCGUUAUUCGGAUUCACUGGGCGUAAAGGGUGCGCAGGCGGCCGUGUGUGUUAGGUGUGAAAGCCCGGGGCUUAACCCCGGAAUUGCGCCUAAAACUACAUGGCUAGAGCAUUGGAGAGGGUAGCGGAAUUCACGGUGUAGCAGUGAAAUGCGUAGAUAUCGUGAGGAACACCAGAGGCGAAGGCGGCUACCUGGACAAUUGCUGACGCUCAGGCACGAAAGCGUGGGGAGCAAAAGGG
This 256-nucleotide ribosomal RNA is filed under the name uncultured bacterium. RNAcentral's name for it is "partial 16S ribosomal RNA". It matches the Rfam family "Bacterial small subunit ribosomal RNA", at positions 521 to 776 of the family's 1533-position model. The record is from RNAcentral.